RNAcentral lists this ribosomal RNA (307 nucleotides) under uncultured Sphingobacteriales bacterium. RNAcentral describes it as "bacterial SSU rRNA". It matches the Rfam family "Bacterial small subunit ribosomal RNA", at positions 1077 to 1382 of the family's 1533-position model. Lineage: Bacteria; Pseudomonadati; Bacteroidota; Sphingobacteriia; Sphingobacteriales. The record is from RNAcentral.
GGGUUAAGUCCCAUAACGAGCGCAACCCUUACCGUUAGUUACCAUCAGGUUAAGCUGGGGACUCUAGCGGGACUGCCACCGUAAGGUGAGAGGAAGGUGGGGAUGACGUCAAAUCAGCACGGCCCUUAUGUCCAGGGCUACACACGUGUUACAAUGGCCAGUACAAAGGGCAGCUACCGGGUGACCGGAUGCUAAUCUCUAAGGCUGGUCUCAGUUCGGAUCGAAGUCUGCAACCCGACUUCGUGAAGCUGGAUUCGCUAGUAAUCGCGCAUCAGCCAUGGCGCGGUCGAAUACGUUCCCGGGCCUU